UUUUUAGGAUAAGUAUAUCCCAUGUGAUAUGCUUUGGGACAUACUUAUACUAAAA
MicroRNA precursor from Pan troglodytes (chimpanzee), 55 nucleotides. It matches the Rfam family "mir-1302 microRNA precursor family". The record is from Rfam. Lineage: Eukaryota; Metazoa; Chordata; Mammalia; Primates; Hominidae.